RNAcentral lists this transfer RNA (98 nucleotides) under Pyricularia oryzae. Its description in RNAcentral is "tRNA-Pro". The record is from RNAcentral. Lineage: Eukaryota; Fungi; Ascomycota; Sordariomycetes; Magnaporthales; Pyriculariaceae.
GCCCUGGUGGUCUAGUGGUAUGAUUCUCGCUUUGGGCACUAAAUUCGAAAUUAGAACACAAAUGCGAGAGGUCCCGCGUUCAAUCCGCGGCCAGGGCC